This 796-nucleotide ribosomal RNA is filed under the name uncultured Rhizophagus. Its description in RNAcentral is "SSU rRNA". It matches the Rfam family "Eukaryotic small subunit ribosomal RNA", at positions 314 to 1114 of the family's 1831-position model. Lineage: Eukaryota; Fungi; Glomeromycota; Glomeromycetes; Glomerales; Glomeraceae. The record is from RNAcentral.
AUCAACUUUCGAUGGUAGGAUAGAGGCCUACCAUGGUGGUAACGGGUAACGGGGUGUUAGGGCACGACACCGGAGAGGGAGCCUGAGAAACGGCUACCACAUCCAAGGAUGGCAGCAGGCGCGCAAAUUACCCAAUCCCGACACGGGGAGGUAGUGACAAUAAAUAACAAUACGGGGUCCUUUCGGGUUUCGUAAUUGGAAUGAGUACAAUUUAAAUCUCUUAACGAGGAACAAUUGGAGGGCAAGUCUGGUGCCAGCAGCCGCGGUAAUUCCAGCUCCAAUAGCGUAUAUUAAAGUUGUUGCAGUUAAAAAGCUCGUAGUUGAAUUUCGGGAUUAGUACGUUGGUCGUGCCUUCGGUACGUACUGGUGUUACUGAUUCCUACCUUCUGACGAACCAUCAUGUCAUUAAUUUGGUGUGGCGGGGAAUCAGGACUGUUACUUUGAAAAGAUUAGAGUGUUUAAAGCAGGCUCGCGCUUGAAUACAUUAGCAUGGAAUAAUGAAAUAGGACGUUGACCCUAUUUUGUUGGUUUCUAGGAUUGACGUAAUGAUUAAUAGGGAUAGUUGGGGGCAUUAGUAUUCAAUUGUCAGAGGUGAAAUUCUUGGAUUUAUUGAAGACUAACUACUGCGAAAGCAUUUGCCAAGGAUGUUUUCAUUAAUCAAGAACGAAAGUUAGGGGAUCGAAGACGAUCAGAUACCGUCGUAGUCUUAACCAUAAACUAUGCCGACUAGGGAUCGGAUGAUGUUAUUUUUAAUGACUCAUUCGGCGCCUUACGGGAAACCAAAGUGUUUGGGUUC